Molecule: ribosomal RNA, 253 nt
Filed under: uncultured bacterium
Lineage: Bacteria
Description: partial 16S ribosomal RNA
Rfam family: Bacterial small subunit ribosomal RNA
Source: RNAcentral
GACAGAGGGGGCAAGCGUUGCUCGGAAUUACUGGGCGUAAAGGGCGCGUAGGCGGGAUGGCAAGUCGGUCGUGAAAUCCUUCGGCUCAACCGAAGAACGUCGAUCGAUACUGCUGUUCUUGAGGGUUGCAGAGGAGACUGGAAUUCCCGGUGUAGCGGUGAAAUGUGUAGAGAUCGGGAGGAACAUCGGUGGCGAAGGCGGCCUGCUGGGCUGUUGCUGACGCUGAGGCGCGACAGCGUGGGGAGCAAACAGG